GUUUCUGUAGUGUAGUGGUUAACACACCGCUCACAUCGCCAAAGGUCCCCAGCUCGAAACUGGCAGAAACA
This 71-nucleotide transfer RNA is filed under the name Hippoglossus stenolepis (Pacific halibut). Its description in RNAcentral is "tRNA-Val". Lineage: Eukaryota; Metazoa; Chordata; Actinopteri; Pleuronectiformes; Pleuronectidae. The record is from RNAcentral.